This 176-nucleotide non-coding RNA is filed under the name Eubacteriales bacterium. RNAcentral describes it as "6S RNA". It matches the Rfam family "6S / SsrS RNA". Rfam says of the family: E. coli 6S RNA was the first non coding RNA to be sequenced, but its function was unknown until recently. Lineage: Bacteria; Bacillati; Bacillota; Clostridia; Eubacteriales. The record is from RNAcentral.
UAAUUCCUGGAAUGCUCGACAACCUUACCCAUUUUGAACCUACAUUUGUGACUAAGGGAUUCCAAUAUUUGUGGGCGGAUGCCAGGCCUCCGUUGAGUGGAAGGCAGAAGUUCACGUGAGGUUGCCCACCUAGCAUCGCUAGGCGUCAAUAAGUAAGACCGGCAUUUUGGGAUUAC